Molecule: non-coding RNA, 114 nt
Organism: Colletotrichum fioriniae PJ7
Lineage: Eukaryota; Fungi; Ascomycota; Sordariomycetes; Glomerellales; Glomerellaceae
Source: Rfam
GGCCGGUUGGGCCCAAUGGCAAGGCGUCUGACUACGAUCCCCUUCUUCCCUCCUAUCGAGAGUUGAGAGAUUCGUGUAAUCAGGAGAUUCUGGGUUCGACCCCCAGGCUGGUCA